RNAcentral lists this ribosomal RNA (490 nucleotides) under uncultured bacterium. Its description in RNAcentral is "partial 16S ribosomal RNA". It matches the Rfam family "Bacterial small subunit ribosomal RNA", at positions 29 to 507 of the family's 1533-position model. The record is from RNAcentral.
AGUGAACGCUGGCGGCAGGCCUAACACAUGCAAGUCGAACGGUAACAGGAAGCAGCUUGCUGCUUCGCUGACGAGUGGCGGACGGGUGGGGAAUGUCUGGGAAACUGCCUGAUGGAGGGGGAUAACUACUGGAAACGGUAGCUAAUACCGCAUAACGUCGCAAGACCAAAGGGGGGGACCUUAGGGCCUCUUGCCAUCGGAUGUGCCCAGGUGGGAUUAGCUAGUAGGUGGGGUAACGGCUCACCUAGGCGACGAUCCCUAGCUGGUCUGAGAGGAUGACCAGCCACACUGGAACUGAGACACGGUCCAGACUCCUACGGGAGGCAGCAGUGGGGAAUAUUGCACAAUGGGCGCAAGCCUGAUGCAGCCAUGCCGCGUGUACGAAGAAGGCCUUCGGGUUGUAAAGUACUUUCAGCGGGGAGGAAGGGAGUAAAGUUAAUACCUUUGCUCAUUGACGUUACCCGCAGAAGAAGCACCGGCUAACUCCGUG